GAUUAAGUUAUUAAGGGCGCACGGUGGAUGCCUUGGCACUAGAAGCCGAUGAAGGACGUUACUAACGACGAUAUGCUUUGGGGAGCUGUAAGUAAGCUUUGAUCCAGAGAUUUCCGAAUGGGGAAACCCAGCAUGAGUUAUGUCAUGUUAUCGAUAUGUGAAUACAUAGCAUAUCAGAAGGCACACCCGGAGAACUGAAACAUCUUAGUACCCGGAGGAAGAGAAAGAAAAUUCGAUUCCCUUAGUAGCGGCGAGCGAAACGGGAAGAGCCCAAACCAACAAGCUUGCUUGUUGGGGUUGUAGGACACUCUAUACGGAGUUACAAAGGACGACAUUAGACGAAUCAUCUGGAAAGAUGAAUCAAAGAAGGUAAUAAUCCUGUAGUCGAAAAUGUUGUCUCUCUUGAGUGGAUCCUGAGUACGACGGAGCACGUGAAAUUCCGUCGGAAUCUGGGAGGACCAUCUCCUAAGGCUAAAUACUCUCUAGUGACCGAUAGUGAACCAGUACCGUGAGGGAAAGGUGAAAAGCACCCCGGAAGGGGAGUGAAAUAGAACCUGAAACCGUGUGCUUACAAGUAGUCAGAGCCCGUUAAUGGGUGAUGGCGUGCCUUUUGUAGAAUGAACCGGCGAGUUACGAUUUGAUGCAAGGUUAAGCAGUAAAUGUGGAGCCGUAGCGAAAGCGAGUCUGAAUAGGGCGUUUAGUAUUUGGUCGUAGACCCGAAACCAGGUGAUCUACCCUUGGUCAGGUUGAAGUUCAGG
RNAcentral lists this ribosomal RNA (758 nucleotides) under Staphylococcus aureus. RNAcentral describes it as "partial 23S ribosomal RNA". It matches the Rfam family "Bacterial large subunit ribosomal RNA", at positions 1 to 756 of the family's 2925-position model. The record is from RNAcentral. Lineage: Bacteria; Bacillati; Bacillota; Bacilli; Caryophanales; Staphylococcaceae.